GACGAACGCUGGCGGCGUGCUUAACACAUGCAAGUCGAGCGGUAAGGCCCUUUCGGGGGUACACGAGCGGCGAACGGGUGAGUAACACGUGGGUGACCUGCCCUCAGCUCUGGGAUAAGCCUGGGAAACCGGGUCUAAUACCGGAUAUGACUCCAUGACGCAUGUUGUGGGGUGGAAAGCCUUGUGCGGCUGAGGAUGGGCCCGCGGCCUAUCAGCUUGUUGGUGGGGUGAUGGCCUACCAAGGCGACGACGGGUAGCCGGCCUGAGAGGGCGACCGGCCACACUGGGACUGAGACACGGCCCAGACUCCUACGGGAGGCAGCAGUGGGGAAUUUUGUGCAAUGGGGGAAACCCUGACACAGCGACACCGCGUGAGCGAAGAAGCCCUUUGGGUGUAAAGCUCUGUCAACGGGAACGAAAAAAUGACGGUACCCGUGGAGGAAGCAUCGGCUAACUACGUGCCAGCCGCCGCGGUAAC
Molecule: ribosomal RNA, 478 nt
Filed under: uncultured bacterium
Lineage: Bacteria
Description: bacterial SSU rRNA
Rfam family: Bacterial small subunit ribosomal RNA
Source: RNAcentral